This 696-nucleotide long non-coding RNA is filed under the name Capra hircus (goat). RNAcentral describes it as "lncRNA (ENSCHIG00000003593.1)". Lineage: Eukaryota; Metazoa; Chordata; Mammalia; Artiodactyla; Bovidae. The record is from RNAcentral.
AGUAGGAAUUUUACAAGAAUUGUUUUCUUUUUCUUUAUCAGUUGAAUUAUUAGAAAAUAUUGGCUUUUGUGUGUGUGUGUGUGUUUUUUUUAAAGUAGUGAUCCUGGCGUACAUAGGAAGGAAGUAAAGAAAAAGGACACUAGCAAAUGGACACCAGAAGAAUGUGUGAUUGCACCAAUAUUUGAAAAGACCAAUUCACUGACUGGUGGUCUGCUGCAUGUUAAUGAUGACAGCAUUUUAAGUGAAGUGGAUCAGGAUGAUGACAGGCCUGCAAAGAAAACAUCUAAUGAAAAUAACAAGAUUCUGUUAGCUUGUUGAAAAUCUGGGAUGUGAUUCUUUCGUAUGACGGAUUAAUAGAACUUAAAAAAAGGCCACUGUGAACUGCUUAGAGGAAAGAUUAAAAAAUGGAAAGUAAGGUUCGUGGGCUACAGAAAGAGCUGUCAGAAACCAAAGAAGUAAAAUCACAGUUAGAGCAUCAGAAAGUGGAGUGGGAACGAGAGCUCGGCAGUUUGAGAUUCACCUUAAAGCGAGAAGAAGAGCAGAGAAGAAAUGCUGAUAUGAAAAAAUUAGGGAGUAGUUAAGAAAAAAAGACCAAUAUAGUAAAGAAGUUGAAAUGAAACAGCAACUUGAACUCACUCUCAGAGCACUAGAAAUGGAACUGAAGACUGUGAGAAAUGAUCUGAAUCAGGUAGAGCA